AUUGAACGCUGGCGGCAGGCUUAACACAUGCAAGUCGAGCGGGGUGAUGGUGCUUGCACUAUCACUUAGCGGCGGACGGGUGAGUAAUGCUUAGGAAUCUGCCUAUUAGUGGGGGACAACAUCUCGAAAGGGAUGCUAAUACCGCAUACGUCCUACGGGAGAAAGCAGGGGAUCACUUGUGACCUUGCGCUAAUAGAUGAGCCUAAGUCGGAUUAGCUAGUUGGUGGGGUAAAGGCCUACCAAGGCGACGAUCUGUAGCGGGUCUGAGAGGAUGAUCCGACACACUGGGACUGGGACACGGCCCAGAUUCCUACGGGAGGCAUCAGUGGGGAAGAUUGGACAAUGGGGGGAACCCUGAUCCAGCCAUGCCGCGUGUGUGAAGAAGGCCUUAUGGUUGUAAAGCACUUUAAGCGAGGAGGAGGCUCUUUUGGUUAAUACCCAAGAUGAGUGGACGUUACUCGCAGAAUAAGCACCGGCUAACUCUGUGCCAGCAGCCGCCGUAA
This 503-nucleotide ribosomal RNA is filed under the name uncultured bacterium. Its description in RNAcentral is "partial 16S ribosomal RNA". It matches the Rfam family "Bacterial small subunit ribosomal RNA", at positions 30 to 523 of the family's 1533-position model. The record is from RNAcentral.